UUUAUAGUUUCCAUGAUCUCAACGUUCAUAAAGACGGACAGACAGACGGAAAUGGCUAGAUCGACUCGACUGUUGAUCCUGAUCAAUGGUCGAAAACGUUUAACUCUACGAGUGACGGUCGAAAAUUGUGAGUUUGUGAAGGUGUCAUAUCCGACCCUAUAACCCUAGGACAGUUGACCUAGCAAUGGAAUAAUCUGGGCACUCGACUAUAAAGUCCUGUUAUAAAUAUGCUCGCUGAAUUAGAAAGUACUAAUUAAGGUGAACCAGUAAAAUAUUUUUCUGCAACGAACCGAAUAUCAAAGGAUUUAAUGAGGGCUUUUCCAUCUUUCCAAGUAAAUAGUUCCAUUAAGACAAUGGCAAUUGAUUUCGGAAAUUGACUUUGCUGAUAUCUGCAUACCUAUACGCACAAGCUCAGCUCAAGUUCCCUAAUGCUUAUUUACACGGUAGAGCAUUUGGGAUUGGCACUCCUAGCACUCCUAGCCUACCAUCUAGAC
Long non-coding RNA from Drosophila gunungcola (fruit fly), 494 nucleotides. RefSeq lists it as uncharacterized. The transcript has 3 exons. Lineage: Eukaryota; Metazoa; Arthropoda; Insecta; Diptera; Drosophilidae. The record is from RefSeq and is a predicted model, not a curated record.